AGAAUUCUAGUUAAAUAUAAUAUAUGCUUGUCACGCAUAAGUUGCUGUCUCAGCGAAUUCUA
This 62-nucleotide transfer RNA is filed under the name Platynereis massiliensis. Its description in RNAcentral is "tRNA-Asp". The record is from RNAcentral. Lineage: Eukaryota; Metazoa; Annelida; Polychaeta; Phyllodocida; Nereididae.